GAAAUUAUAAAGAAAUGUAUUUUAUUAUAAUUGAAUGUAGCUCAGUAUAUCAAUGAGCUAAAUUACACAGCUUUAAAUAAGUAGAAAAACAACCAUAGUAGCAAAUAAACAGGAGAAAAUAACUGAACUAACUUAGGCAAUCAAACUCAUCACUCGCAGAAUCAUAACCACUUAGACACAUUCAAAGUAAAACAUAUUUACAAAAAUACACCUUAUCACUCCAAUGCUCUAGCACACGGCAAUCACCUUAUUACUCCAGAGGGAUGAACACAUCCUUAUAACUCCUUCAGCUAUUAUCCCCCCUCAAACUUUGUAAGGGCUGAAGACAAAGUUUGUGUCGAAAUUGAGCCAGGCGAGCUUUAGUCAUUGACUUAGUAAAUAUGUCAGCCAGUUGGAAAGUGGACGGAAUGUGCUUAGUGAUUAAGACCCCUUGAGCAACUUGUUCUCUCACAUAAUGAUAGUCCAAAGCUAUGUGUUUGCUACGGGCAUGAAGAACCGGAUUAAUAGUCAAAUAUAAAGCACUUAAGUUAUCACCAUAAAGUAUAGGUGGAUUACGUUGAGGAACUCGUAAAUCAUCCAACAGAUAUCCUAACCAAGUUAGCUCUGCGGCGGCAUGAGCCAUAGCUCGAUACUCUGCCUCGGUGCUGGAACGGGCAACAGUAGUCUGUUUCUUGACACACCAAGAAACAAUAUUAGACCCUAGAAAAGUGCAGUAACCAGUUGUGGAACGUCUUGUCAUCUGACAGCCGGCCCAGUCUGCAUCAGAAAAAGCAGAAAGAGCAAGUGACGUAUCUGCUGUAAGAGAAAGACCUAAGUCAAGAGUGCCUUUUAAAUAACGUAAAAUACGGCGAACAUAUUUGAGGUGGGACAUGUGAGGAGAGUGCAUAAAUUGGGAAACAUAAUUAACACUAAAAGAAAGGUCUGGACGGGUAAGCGUGAGAUACUGCAAUGACCCUGCAAGCACACGAAAAUAACUUGGAUCAUCAAUAGGUGUGUCAACGGAUGUAGACACCGAUUUUUGGACCAAUGGCGUGGGCAUAGGCUGGCAUUCUAGCAUUUGAGCACGCUCCAAAAUGGAAUAGGCAUAAUGAGUCUGGGAUAAAUGAAGUCCAGUGGUUGUGGAUUGAACCUGAAUGCCCAAGAAGUGAUGUAAAGGACCAAGAUCUUUCAUAGAAAAUUCUGAAUUUAAAACCUGCAAAAAUGACUGAACAAGAGUAUUGGAAGAGCCUGUAAGAAGCAUAUCGUCAACAUAAAUUAGAAGAAUUAAAGUACCAACUGCCGAAUGGAAAACAAAUAGAGAAGGAUAUGCAAGACUACAAUAAAACCCAUAUUUCAGUAAAAAAACACUCAGUCUAUCAAACCAGGCACGCGGCGCCUGUUUCAAUCCAUAAAGAGCUCGUUGGAGCUUACAAACAUAGGAAGGAUUAUUAGAAUCAAUCAUUCCUGGUGGCUGUUCCAUAUAAAUAUUCUCAGAAAUAAAUCCAUGCAAGAAAGCAUUUUUCACAUCUAACUGACGAAUAGGCCAAUGCCUGACCAACGCAACAGUUAAAACCAAACGAAUUGUGCCCGGUUUAAUAACAGGUGAAAACGUUUCAGUGUAAUCUACACCGUCUAGUUGAUGAAACCCUUUAGCAACAAGACGGGCCUUUAACCUAUCUAAAGUGCCAUCUGGUUUCAACUUAGCUUUAUACACCCAUUUACACCCUAUAACAUGCAAAUCAGAUGUACGGGGAACCAAAGUCCAAGUCUUAUUUCUAGUCAAGGCAUUAAAUUCAUCAAGCAUAGCAUUUUUCCAACCAUUAUGAGCAAGAGCAUGUUUAACAUUUUUUGGUUCAGGCGGAAUAACAGAAGACAUAGUAACAUUCAAAGCAUAUCAUGGAUUGGGUUUAACAAUACCUGAUUUUGAACGAGUAAUCAUAGAAUGAUUAGGUGCUAUAUCCUCAACAUGCUCCUCAGGUACAUUAAUUUCAGCUAAAGAAGAAUUACCUGCUCCUGCACUAACCGAAUCACCUAUGUGUAGAACCUCUAAAGACUGCUCCUGUUGUGCACUAGAUUCAAUCAUGUGCUGAUCCGUGAUGGGUUGAUCAUGGAGCAACGGAGCGGCAACAGGAAGCUCCUCUGGUUCCUGGUCUUGAAUCAACUCGGCUUCUGGUUGUGCUGCAAAUACCUCAACUGCAGAAAACUGAUCGGCUAGUACAUCUGAAGUAUAAGACAGAACGUGUUCUGUUAAUUGGUGUUGAGACGUUGUAGAUGAACCAGCUUCCUGAGCUGCUGCUGGUACAACAACAUUUUGGUCCGUUUGCAAGGGCUGUCCAGCAGACACAGCAGUGGUUGUUUGUUGAGCAGCUAGUGGGUCAGCUGGUGACUGUAACACUACUGCUGACUGUGUGCCUGCUGCUGGCGGGGGCAGCACAUCAGACUCUUCUUCACACGGCAAAAUACCUGCUACAUUAACAGCUGAAAUAAAUGGUGCACAUUCCUGUAAACGAAGAGAAGAAUCAGUUACAUUAGUUUGGGUAUUUAAACCAGAACAAUCAGGUAGCCAAGAAUUCAUAAUUUUAAGAGCAAAGGAUUUAUCAAAAGAUGACGACUUGAAAGGAAAAACUGCCUCAUCAAAACUUACAUGACGGCUUAUGAUAAAUUUUUUAGUUCUAGGGUUAAAGCAUUUAUAACCUUUGUGUUUUUCACUGUAACCAACAAAAACACAUGAGCAAGAUUUUGGAUCAAACUUAUGACUUCUAGAAUCCCAAAUGUAUGGAAAGCACUUCGAACCAAAGACCCGUAAUGAACUAUAAUCAAAAUGGAAUUCAUGUAGCAUAUAAAAUGGUGUCUCAUUGCCCAACACAGUAGUAGGUAACCUAUUCAAAAGAAAGACAGCAGCCUGAAAAGCCUCUACCCACAUACAUAACGGCAUAUGGCUAUGGUACAUCAUAGUUAAACCUAGUUCACGUAUUACUCGAUGUCGCCGUUCAACGGCACCUGUUUGUUCAGGAGUAUAUGGACAUGAAAUGUGAUGUUUUAUGCCAUGUGCAAGAAAAUGAGAAGACAAAGCAUUAUUAACAAACUCACCUCCUCCAUCGGAAUGAAAAACUUUAAUUCGCUUCCCAAAUUGUCGAAAUAUAAAUUGUUCAAAUGCUAAAUAAGUAACAAAGAAAUCAGAUUUCUUCUUUAAAGGAACUAUCCAAGAAUAUUUUGAAAAGUCAUCAACAAAACAUGCAUAAAACUUAAACUUAGAAAAAGAAAUUACAGGGGCUGAUCCCCAUAGAUCACAAUGAAUCUUAUCAAAACUAGAUGAACUAGUAUGUUCUGAAGAAUUAAAAGGAAACUUACUCAAUUUGCCUAACUGACAACUAUCACACAAAAACUUAGAUUGCAAUGAACCUUUUACAUCAACUAGAUUUUUAUUAAAUAAAACUGAAACUGCAGAAGCUUGUGGGUGUCCUAAUCGUUGAUGCCAAAUCUCAGCGGUACCAGUCCUAAACCGAUUCGAGAAAUAAGCUGUAGGUACUCCAGACAACGUAUACAAAUUAUGCCUCCUUGGUCCUGUUAAGAGCACCUGUCCCAUUUCCUGAUCCUUUACAUUAACAGACACGUUAGAGAAUUCACAGUUUACAGGAUAUUCAUCAGUCAGUUGGCUAAUGGAUAACAAGUUCUGUUUUAAAUCAGGAACAGAUAACACAUUAGAGAUAGGCAAAUUAUAUUUUUGGUUUAAACAGGCUGUACCUACACCAUCAAUUGGCAGGAAGGUACCAUCCCCUAUCGUAAUCGAAUCAGGUCCAUUAUACUUAUCAAUAUUUUUUAGAAGAAGUUUGUUACCUGUCAUGUGAUCAGACGCGCACGAAUCAGCUACCCAGUCCGUUUCCACGACUCCAUUGUUAAGCUUGAGAGCUGCAAGGGCUUGUGGAGGAUCUUCACGUUGUGCUUUAGAUAUCCACCAGCAGAUUUUGGCUAUAUGCCCCUUUUUGCCACAGUAUUGGCAAAUUUCAUCCUUAUAAAGUUUCCGUUCAGUGGGAGUCAUUCUUCGCUGACCAGGUGGUGGAGGGCGACGUUGAGAGGAGUAUGAUCCUCUGUUCUGACCCUGUCCUCGAGUUUGUUGGGCCUGAAACCCCCGUCCAUGAGAAUCGAAAUUGUUGCGUCGAUUCGAACUGGAAUUGGCUUGUUUCUGUUGAUUACCAUAAAAGGCAACAUGCGCGAUCUGGUCAAGCGCAGAAUCCGACUGAUUGGAGAACCAACUUCGCCUCUGAUCCAGAUUUUUUAAUUGGGAAACCAGCUCGUUGUAACUUGGCCGUGGUGGUUUGAGCAUGGUGGUGGUGAAGGUCUCAUAUUGCGGACCUAAACUUGUGAGAAGACAGAAGAUCUUUUCAUCGUCUGGAACUUUCUUCCCGAUUGCAGCCAGAUUAUCACAAAUCUCCUUAAACAAGCGUAAGUGCUCUGUGAUUGUCUUAUUUUCAUCUUUUCGAAAAUAAGUUAGCUGUUGGCGUAGGGUAAAUACCCUUUCUUGUGAAUCUUGUGCAUAGGCCUCUUUUAAUGCACUCCAAACAGCACACACAGUUUCUAGCCCAAUGACAAGUCCCAGAGAUUCUUCGCUAAGGGUUCCGUAGAUCCACCCUCGAAGCAAUCGGUCGGACUUUUGCCAUGUUUGAAAUUCAUUUGACUGCUGUGGUUGAUAAUUUUCUAGAAUUGGUGUUGGAGGAGGAGUGAAUUUCUGAUCUGCUGGAAAUUCCGCCACUAAAUGAUCGGAUAAUUCUUGACUCUCAGCUAAACUCAACACAUGUUCUCUCCAAAGUUGGUAAUUGGUUUGUUUCAGCUUUAGUGUAACGAAAUUCGCUACAUUCAAGGUAGAAGAAGUCAUGGUGAGUGGACAGAAAGAAAAGAAAAAAAGAGCGAUACUUUUGCUCUUUCUGGCUCUGAUACCAAAAGGAAAUUAUUAAGAAAUGUAUUUUAUUAUAAUUGAAUGUAGCUCAGUAUAUCAAUGAGCUAAAUUACACAGCUUUAAAUAAGUAGAAAAACAACCAUAGUAGCAAAUAAACAGGAGAAAAUAACUGAACUAACUUAGGCAAUCAAACUCAUCACUCGCAGAAUCAUAACCACUUAGACACAUUCAAAGUAAAACAUAUUUACAAAAAUACACCUUAUCACUCCAAUGCUCUAGCACACGGCAAUCACCUUAUUACUCCAGAGGGAUGAACACAUCCUUAUAACUCCUUAAGCUAUUAAAG
This 5219-nucleotide long non-coding RNA is filed under the name Manihot esculenta (cassava). RNAcentral's name for it is "long non-coding RNA (MESC_LNC008431)". Lineage: Eukaryota; Viridiplantae; Streptophyta; Magnoliopsida; Malpighiales; Euphorbiaceae. The record is from RNAcentral.